This 191-nucleotide small nuclear RNA is filed under the name Ipomoea nil (Japanese morning glory). Its description in RNAcentral is "U2 spliceosomal RNA". It matches the Rfam family "U2 spliceosomal RNA". From Rfam's summary of the family: U2 is a small nuclear RNA (snRNA) component of the spliceosome (involved in pre-mRNA splicing). Complementary binding between U2 snRNA (in an area lying towards the 5' end but 3' to hairpin I) and the branchpoint sequence (BPS) of the intron results the bulging out of an unpaired adenosine, on the BPS, which initiates a nucleophilic attack at the intronic 5' splice site, thus starting the first of two transesterification reactions that mediate splicing. The record is from Rfam by way of RNAcentral. Lineage: Eukaryota; Viridiplantae; Streptophyta; Magnoliopsida; Solanales; Convolvulaceae.
AUACCUUUCUCGGCCUUUUGGCUAAGAUCAAGUGUAGUAUCUGUUCUUAUCAGUUUAAUAUUUGAUACGUGGGCCAUCGGCUCACAUGAUAUUAACUCAAUUUUUCUCGAGGAAAGGUCCAUCAAGGUAGCUUGCUACUUGGGUCUUUGAGUUUCGCCUUGGUAUUGCACCAUUGCCUUGGCACACCCCAC